This 1277-nucleotide long non-coding RNA is filed under the name Gossypium raimondii (Peruvian cotton). Its description in RNAcentral is "long non-coding RNA (GRAI_LNC011294)". The record is from RNAcentral. Lineage: Eukaryota; Viridiplantae; Streptophyta; Magnoliopsida; Malvales; Malvaceae.
GUUACAUUCAUUUCAAAAUUGUGAAACCACAAGAUUUGCCAUGACCAAAUAUUCAUUUUCCAUUUGUACUUAAUUCCAACAUUUAAUAAUUUACAAGCAAACAAUGAAAUUUUCACAUUAAUAAUAAUUUAAGUAACAAUUGAUAUACAUAAUCAUAAGGAAACAAACAUAUAUAUUAUAUACUACAAACUUACCUCGACAAAUAUAGUUGUAAAAAUGAAGCAGCCGACAAAUCUGACACAUUAGGUUUUCCCCGGUUUACAUCUGUUUGGUUCGUUUGUUGAUCAUACAUGUAAAAACUCCAUGAUCGGAAGCUUCCUCCUCUCUGUUAUUCGGUUUGCAAAAUAACAAAUUAGAGGAGAUGAUAACAUUUUUGUCUUUUAGUUUGUUUUAAUUUCCAUUUAACUACAAAUUUACAAUUUUUCCCUUAAAAAAUCAAAUUUCAUGCAUUUAAUCUCCCAAAACCAUCCACCCUAAGUUCAUUUGGUGCAUUUACCAUUUAAGUCCAUUAGUUUGAUAAUCCAUUAUAAAUUGACCCCUUUACCUAAUAGAAAUCAAUUUUUGCACCUUUUUCAAUUUAGUGAUUUUUACUUACUUAAUUAUUUGUACACAUAAUAUAAAUCUGUUACAUUCAUUUCAAAAUUGUGAAACCACAAGAUUUGCCACGACCAAAUAUUCAUUUUCCAUCUGUACUUAAUUCCAACAUUUAAUAAUUUACAAGCAACCAAUGAAAUUUCACAUUAAUUAUAAUUUAAGUAACAAUUGAUAUACAUAAUCAUAAGGAAACAAAAAUAUAUAUUAUAUACUACAAACUUACCUCGAUAAAUAUAGUUGUAAAAAUGAAGCAGCCGACAAAUCUGACACAUUAUGUUUUCCCCGGUUUACAUCUGUUUGGUUCGUUUGUUGAUCAUGCAUGUAAAAACUCCAUGAACGGAAGCUUCUUCCUCUCUGUUAUUCGGUUUGCAGAAUAGCAAAUUACAGGAGAUGAUAACAUUUUUGUCAUUUAGUUUGUUUUAAUUUCCAUUUAAUUACAAAUUUACAAUUUUUCCCUUAAAAAAUCAAAUUUCAUGCAUUUAAUCACCCAAAACCAUCCACCCUAAGUUCAUUUGGUGCAUUUGCCAUUUAAGUUCAUUAGUUUGAUAAUCCAUAAUAAAUUGACCCCUUUACCUAAUAGAAAUCUAUUUUUGUACCUUUUUCUAUUUAGUGAUUUUUACAUAAUUAAUUAUCUGUACACAUAAUAUAAAUAUGUUACAUUCAUUUCAAAAUUGUGAAACCAC